GAUGAACGCUGGCGGCGUGCCUAAUACAUGCAAGUCGAGCGAACGGACGAGAAGCUUGCUUCUCUGAUGUUAGCGGCGGACGGGUGAGUAACACGUGGAUAACCUACCUAUAAGACUGGGAUAACUUCGGGAAACCGGAGCUAAUACCGGAUAAUAUUUUGAACCGCAUGGUUCAAAAGUGAAAGACGGUCUUGCUGUCACUUAUAGAUGGAUCCGCGCUGCAUUAGCUAGUUGGUAAGGUAACGGCUUACCAAGGCAACGAUGCAUAGCCGACCUGAGAGGGUGAUCGGCCACACUAGAGCUGAGACACGGUCCAGACUCCGACGGGAGGCAGCAGUAGGGAAUCUUCCGCAAUGGGCGAAAGCCUGACGGAGCAACGCCGCGUGAGUGAUGAAGGUCUUCGGAUCGUAAAACUCUGUUAUUAGGGAAGAACAUAUGUGUAAGUAACUGUGCACAUCUUGACAGUACCUAAUCGGAAAGCCACGGCUAACUACGUG
Molecule: ribosomal RNA, 497 nt
Filed under: uncultured bacterium
Lineage: Bacteria
Description: partial 16S ribosomal RNA
Rfam family: Bacterial small subunit ribosomal RNA
Source: RNAcentral